CCACCCCUGAUGUCAUCGGCGGUGUUUUUUUGAAGCAGGAUGAAAGUCCGUUUGAAAGCCGCCCCGCUCAUAAAUCAAAUUGACAUCUCCAACAAAGAAAAGCACUCGGUCGCGAUUGCCGCCACGAAUAGAGAGAAGUCAACUUGGAUCAAGCCGUCAGCUCAGACGGUGAAUGAUGUCUUACUCCGAAAGCGUCAGCUACGGAAUUGUAGCACUCAUACUACCUCUAGUGUUCAGUAUGUGAAUUGCAUUGUUGUUAAACAGACUUAAAAGGGGCCUUACUGAAAGACUGGCAUUAAAAAUAACCGGAACAAUCACCUAUGUGAAUGAACAGCCAAAUUUUUAUGCACAUUAAUUUUCAGUUGUUGUGCACUGGUGUAUUGCAUGCAGCAGGUGCAUCUCUGUUUUUAUGUCCUGUACUGGGCAAGUGUGCUGCCAGGUGACAGGUGUGCUGCCAGGUGACAGGUGUGCUGCCUGGUGACAGGUGUGCUGCCUGGUGACAGGUGUGCCGCGUGGCGAGUCAUGGCAAUUGGCAGGAGGCUGCCAGUAUCUUGGAGGUUGCCUGGCUCUUACGUUUCGAGGGUGCGGUCCUCCACCGAGGCUGGGUGCAGAGGUCUGGGGGGGUCUGCCUCACUGAGUACUGUCAGACACACAGGAAGGCCUGUUUACACUUUUGCUCUGAUGUUUUUUGCCUCGUUUUUAUGCACUUAACUCCAGCAAAAAUUCAAAAGUAGGUGAAUGUGAAUCACAAAGGUGCCUGGUUUCUUUGAGAAAGAAAGAUCUCUUCUACAAAGAAUUCUCCAAAAAGUAAGUUUGUCAGGAGCUGUAUUAGUCAGUGCAUGUGCUGUGCAAGUUCGACAACAUAAACAUAAGAAUGCUGGAUCCGUAAAAUACAAAACUAGUGGUAUUUAAUUCAUGCAACAGCAUUUAGACAAACUGAAGUCCUGUGCUGUAGAACAUUAUUGUGUAACUUUACAGUACAGCGGUCACAGAUGGCUUUGUGAUUUGAUAAUUCUGUACCUGAAUUUGCUUGGAUUUUCAGCAUCCAUUUCUUCAUCAGAAACCGGGAGGAGGCACUGAGAAGGUAUUCAGACCCAUCCCGUAGGCUGGGGUGACAGAGAGUGAUAUUGGCUGGAGGGUCGAAGCACCCAGGGACUUGGCUUAACACAGCGUGAGCCUGGUGUACGACGUGGUGAAGGGUCAUGGAUGACUGAGGGAAGUUUCAUUCGCUCACCGUAGGCUGAAACAGUUGGCCCGUUUGCUGUACUCGGGAACUGGCACGCAUUCAGCUCCGGUGACAUUCAGGGGCAGCCCGGCCACGGAGCUCUGCGCGAUGACCACAGCACGGGAAAGUUACAGACAUGGUGUGUAGACUUGUAUAAGCUGUUUUUUAAAAUUUAGCCAUGUUUUAAGACAAGACCGGGUUCUGAUUAUGGGAUCAGCUCAUGAAUGUUAAUUUAUGGUAAACUUUUGUAACGGGUGUUUCUCUGCCCAGUGCUUGGGGACUCCCCCAGACAUUCUUCCUGUCUUCACAAUGCCCCUGUACCAGGUAUUCCUUUUCUUGAUUACUUGUUUGUUUGGUUCAGGUAUGUUGGGAGCUGAAGGGAGCAAAAAUGUGAACUGUCUGGGGGUCCACGUGAACGGAGCUGAGAAACUCUGGGUGAAUUUUGUUAUGCGUACUUGUGUUCUUGUGUACCUAUUUUAUGUCAUCUUCCAUUGCCGAAGACCAUUUCCAAUACUAAGAACACUAGUGCAGACGAUGGUAAAAAUCCCCGGAUGUCAUUCUUGCUCCGCCCCAAAUAUCAAGGAUCCAUCAGUUGCAUCCUCGCCAAAUGUGACCAAUCCCAUGAUUCACUGCACCCCAAGUUUGUUUUUGGAAGACAGUUAAGCAAGACCAAUCUUGACAAGACCACAAGUAUGAUCUUUGCAUUCAUGGUAUUGAGAAAUACCCACUCAGUCUAUAUGCCCUUGCACAGUCACAGUGGCUAUGUUUAUAAGGACUCUGUGUAUUGUGGGCAUACAUGUACAUGGGCAGCUCCUGAUGAAGCAUGAGGAUUCACACCCCCUGGCCACACGGUCCCCCCAGCCCCCAUCUAUCAGAUUUACCUUCAGUGUGUCCUUCCGGUCUUGGUAGAAGCAAAGUGUCUGCCUGAACAGGAUGGCAUGGUAUGUGCUCCAGGCACGACAUGGAGCCUGCAAGGAGUAGAGCAUCGGGUCAGUGACAAAUGGCUGAAGAGACCAAAGAGGUUUCAGAAUCACUGGAGAUAAAAUAUAGCUGUAUUAAACUGAGGCUCCUCCCAUGGGACCCACCCACCAAAACUGUGAAGCCCUUCCUCUUACCCUCUUCCCUCCUAAUUGCAGCUUGUGCUUCCUCUCCAACGUCCCCUCCAUUGACUGGAACUCAGGCUUCCUCCCAUUCUGAAACAGGAUUGUAUGCAGAACUUUAUUUAUAUGAUUUUUUUGUUAGCAGCAUAUGGCCAAUCAUAGCCUCUUUUGCCUUCUGUACAGAUCGAUAUCUACUUGGGCUGGCUGGUACCACACUUAAGGGAACAAGAACGGUUCUAAUCCAUUAAUCUGAAAUUGGGGGUUGCUUCAAAUAAAUUUUUCUUAUUCUAAUCUUAUUUUGAAAUUUCACUGUAGAAGUGUAUUGUCUAUCAGAAAAGCGAGAAGCUGUUUCAUACCAUUGAGUUACAGCGCCUUCCUGGGCUGGUUGUUUUUCCGUGUUCAUCUCUGUCACAGUCCGAGCCAAUUGCCGGACAGCGAUCUUCCUCUAGACCCAUGUGAACUGAGAACAGGCUCAUGGACUGGCCCUGUGGAGUGUUCAGAUGUUUUGACUUGUAAGGUCAAAAUAGAAAAUGCUCAGUCAAAUCUGUCUCUUGUUUGACCACUAGAUGGGGCCAGAGAUUAAAUAGUCGAGUAUUAUAUUUUUAGGUGCAUUACGAAUAGGUGAGGAUAUAGAAAGUGAACAGAGCAAAUAUUUAGGUAAAACAUCGAAACAUUAAAUCAUUUAUACAAAACAUUGAUAGAGUAAAUAUUGCAGUAUGUCCUGGACAUAAAUAUGGUUACAUUGAUAAACUUGAAAUUGUAUAGCUAUAAAAUAUAAAUAGACCUAGAACCUUUACUGGCAAUUGGGCAUAUUUAGUGAAACCAACACCUUUGUUAUGACGUCCUCUUGUGUUUGUGUUGUGAACUGUUGCCACAGAAACACAAACACAGAAACACUGCAGGUGGAUCAACUAGCAUGUGGGGAUUUCAUUGAUUUUUCUUUUUGUGAAGAUGGCCCUCACCUUCGGACAACCUGUGCCCUCUUUCAAAUCCUUAUCCUCCUCCUCCUCCUCCUCCUCCUCUCUGUAAUGGUAGAUGUAUUUUUCCUGGUCCUCUGUGUCAGGCAGCUUCAUGGAAUGGGAGGCUGUCUCGUUUACCAGUGAUACCUGCCUGCUCAUUGGCUCUUUCUCGGGGAAUGCAGCCCAGGACCUCCUGUCCCCCUUGGAAAGGCUCUUGCUCUCUCUUUUUGGAUCUUUGUUGUAGCCUAAUAGAGACUGGACCGAAGGUGGUAGCCUGAACUCUGCUACCAGAAGGUUGGGUGCUGAGGCAGUCACAAGUUUUCUGUAGAGCAUGGCCUGACCCUGGGUGCGUGCUUCUUGGGGCUGGCUGGCUGGAGAGUUUGUUGUCUCUUCCUGGUGUGUCUGGUACAUGAUGUCAGAGCAUAUGCUCUGCCGGUAGCUGUUGGUCUGAUUCCAGAUGUCCUGCAGCUCUUCUUCCUCCUCCUCAAACUGCUGAUGGUCUGGAUGGACAUUGUCCUCUGCAGUGGGUAAUACCUUCAUCUUGAAGCCAGUAGGAUCCCCAUCACAGUUAUCUGUCUGUACAAAUAUUGCUUUACCCACCACCCCCCUAAGGAGGUUAGACGGCACUUGGUGUGCCGCUUCAGUGCAGAUCCUCAUGUUCUCUGAUCUAUGUGCUCCCAAGCCUACUGAACUCUCCAUCCCACCUGCAGAACCCCUGGGGCUCUUGCGAAUAUUGGAGGCUACAUUUGCGCCUGAGAUGGAAUUCUUGUGGUACCGAUGUUCUUUGAGGUCCUGAACUUUGGUGUGGACACUUGGACACAUAUGGUUCACAGAAACUACAGUAGAUUUGUCGCAAUUAACAUCCUUGUUAAGGUGUUCUUUCUCUCUAAGCACAGAUGGCAUAAAGCUUUCACUGGGCAUGGGUUCACUGAAGUCCAGAAUGACAGCCAUUUUGUCCUGUUCUUGACUUAGUUGUUCAUGUUGGCCACUGACAUCUGAGAGACAACUCAACUGGAGAUCUGAUAGGUCACUGCUGACUGUGGUCUGACUCUGAUUCUGAGAAGGCUUAACUCUUUCUGGAGGUGGAAUGCCAUGGGAUAUAACAGGAGUGGUCAACUUCCCUGUUGGGCUGGGUUUGGAUGCUUCUCCUCGGCAGACAGGCGGUGAACGUGUUUGUUUGAAUGUAGUCAUUGUCGUGUGUCUCUCCGUGUAAGAAUAGCGGCCGUUGGGGUCAAGGGGGUCCGUGUAAUUUCUGAGGUGGUCUGUUCCUUUAGGAUCUGCAGGGAAAAUGGUUAUGACAUCGGGGAUGCUGGGGAUCAAGCUGAAAUCUUUGGGCAGGUCAAAGCUCAGUAUGGACCCCAGAGACAGGUAUCUGCAGUGGUUCUUGCCAUGCUCUGCCGGGGUUGAACCUGGGCUUUUCUCUACACCAGGCUGGACAGGAAGUGAGUCUCCUGUACAUUCAGCAUCUAUGUCCUUCAAUAUGGGGUUCUUCACAUAGUCCUGGGUCUCCGUGCCACUUGAGGAGGCUACUUCUUUUGAGACCUUCUUCCUCUCCUUUAGAGGCCAAGUGUUUGUGCUGUGUAUAACUUGCUGGACCAAAGAGGGGGGCACAGAUUUUGCCAGCUCCUCCCCCAUUACCCUCUGGAUGGUGUGCCUCCUCUCCUCGCCCUUCCUCUUCCGCUUCUUGCUCCUCCUCUUCAGGCUGUCGAUGACGGAGCUGGGGCUGCUCUUAAGCAGAGAGGAAGAGGAGCCCGAGGAGGAUGAGGAAGCCAUUGGCACCUUAACCUUAGUGGCACUGCGGGGCAGAGUAAUGUUCUCGUACUCAGAAGAGGCGGCUUUGUUGUCCUUAACAUGCAAGUAGGUACUCACCUGAAAAGGAAAGAAAAGAGCACUUUUCAGCACUGACGUUCUGGGUUCCUGAUAACUACCGUGAAUGCGAUUAUUCCGGGUUAUCCAAGAAAAGCCCCAUGCUCACAAUAGCAGCCUUGCAUUCUUCCGAAGACACAGACAUGUUUUUAUUACACAUCAGACUAGAACAGGAACACUUGGCCACACUGCUGUACAAGACACGAGAACCUGAGUAAGAUAGACAAGAACUGGCUGGAAAUGUCCGCGACUACGGAAUAGAAAAGUACAGGACACAGGCUGUUCUGUCCCAAGUCAAGAUGCGAGUCUGCUGUAAAACUGAACAGAGACACCAGUGGAAGUCACUCAACAGUCUCCUAUCAGAACCUCACCCACAGCAUUUCACACAGUCUGUUUUGAUUGUGUCUGUGUUAUCCUGGCAGCUCACUUUCUUAAAUUAUAAAUGAUAUUCUUUCCCAUAUAUUCUUCUCAUCUUGACAUCACACUCUGGCCAUCUCUUGCUAAGGACCAUGUUAAGGUGCUAUUCAUGGGGAGUGAUGCACGCAGUCACUCCACAGGACGGCGCACUGAGCACUUCUGGCCUGACGUCAGGCCCGUGUCUGCAUUUCGUAGGAAUGACAUCCUGGGGACUGAAUAGAAUGGGUUUGAUGACAGACGAUAAGUAUAGUAACCAAAAUGUGACUGAAUCUGUUUGCCAUGCUGGCAUGUCCAUAGCGGUCGCAGUGAUGUGUGGAAGUUCUUCCCCGGAACAACAGCUAUUCGAUACAAGCGGAACCUUUUUGGCCAAGCGUAUAAAACAAUAUGAGAUAAAUGCUCGUAAAACAGUGGUUGAGGCAGGAACUGACAUGUGGUGAACUUUGUAGGCAAAAACUGCCUGGAGUAAUUGUGGUUGUCUUUGCCGCUUUCUGUGUUGUCAUGUAUUUGGGGUCACCACAAAUAUCACAUAUAUGUGGAAGCCUGCACCACCGCAAGGACCCAUAGUGUAGGGGGAACUGGAUUCAAGACUGACAGGUUGCAUGUUUAAAUCCUGAUGGGGUUUAAACCAGAUUUCUUCAGCAGGAAAUGUAAAUGGUUGAACUGUAAGCUGUGCAAGCUUAGAAUGUAAGAAAAACAUGUGCAUAAGUUACGGUCUUUUCUCACCACUCCGGUUUGUGAAGUACAUUUAAAACAGAUCCGGACUUCAUGUUUGUACGUUAUAUUUUAUAAAUCUGAAGUUUACUGUCACUGGUCCAAGGUACAUACUUUCUGUUGUUUUCUAACGAAUGAUUCUUGAUGAUAUUUUCAGGUAUGUUGGGCCAUCAGUUGGGCUUCAGUUUCUUUUGCUAGGCCUUGUUGUGUUGUGGACCGACCAAAGGCUACAGCAGUGUGCUUUCCCACCAUUGUGUUGUCGAAACACACUGGGAAUCUCGUUCAUUGGAUCUGCGGGAUACACUGCCCCCUGCAGGCGAUGGGUUUUCUCUUAACUGCUAACCAAGUCUAUGGCUUAUUGAAAAAGCAGUUCUUACAGUAAGCAGUAUGUGUUUUGUGACCUAUGAGAGACUCAGUGUGAGAGGCCCGUUUUUAAAUCUGUGCUUUUUGUCUGAGGUAAGGAAACAGGUCAGGAGUAGAAAUAACUGUGCCAGAGACACUUGAGUAAAAGUGGGCUUUAGGGUUUUGAAGUCUGGUGAGUCAACACAUGUCAUAGAAAUGUCAGUCUGAAAGGAAUAGAAGCACCAUGGAUUGAGUUCAUCCCUUGCAAGCAAAAGGCUUUCAUCAACAGAAACAGACAACACAACCAGUCACUGGCACCUUAACCUACCCAACAGUAACACGGUCAACCCUACUGAUGCGUAACUGUUAAGUUUUUAAAUACACAUUUUUCAGGUUCUUUUGACCGCAAAUCAACCUUCAUUUUAAUGACCAAGAGACCCCACUGAAGUGUAGCAAUAGUCCACUUUCGCCCUUGCUGUUCCAUGCAUGGCAGAGCAAAAGUGUGGCAACACUUGGACAAGGGAGGCUGUGAGAGAUGCAGUCGACAAAGACGGGGUGAGGAGACACCCUCCCCCUCACCCUGUUAGUAAGCCCCCGUCCCUCAACCACCGCCCAUGCAACACCAACCCUGGACAUGCAGCAACGCUGUUUACCUCGUCUGCACUCUGCCGGUAAAUCUUUCUCUUUCGCUUUAAACUACCGAACGUAUUUCCCAAAAGGCCCUGGCAACGGCUCCAAAAGUUUUUACAGGCAGAGGAGGGAGACUCAGCAGGCUGAGGGAAAGGGAGAGAAGAAGAGGGAGAACAAAAUAAAGAAUAUCGAGGGUGGAGGGGCGGCCAGAGGGAGGGGCUGUGGAGAUGAUGAAACUCAUCACUGAACAGAGAAAAACAUACAGAUGUCAGAUCAACACGAUACCCAAAGGCUGUGAUGUUCCUGGUUCCCCUUUAACGCACAGAUCAGAACCAUCCAUGGAUGCCCUCGGGUUCUCAAACAUGUUUUUAUCUGGCCUACCAAUCACUGUCAGCUUAAGACCUAACGCCAAGCUCUUGAUCUAUUAAACCCGAGGCAUUAUGAGAAUAUUUUCUCGCUAGCAAGGAAGGGUAUUGUUUUUAUUUGCUCCGCAAGAAUGACAUAUGAAAGAAUUUUUACUGCUUUUGAUGUGCAGGAAAUGUUCCCCCAGUUUGUGCUGCAUUCACUGUGGCUUUGGUUGACGUUCUCGGAUGGGUUAUGGAUAUUGAGCAACGAACCAUCCUCAGCAACAAACCAUUUUCAGUGGAUUGCAGUAUAUCAGCCAGGAUACUCACCCUAUGAACCGGCUCAGUGACCUCUGCCUCUUCCAUGGCUUCCUGCACCUGCAGCUGGCUGUCCCCCAUUUUACUGAAACUGAGGAUGAGGUUGACUGUGCCUCCCAGUGCAGGGGCGCUUGGCUCUUUCAUGACAAGGAAGGGUGACCUAGAUGUCUCGAUGGCCAUUGGAUCUUGAUGGGUCUCAGCGGGGGAGCCUGCACCGCUUCCUUUCUCGUUGGGACUGAUGCUGCCCAUAACCUCGUAUCCACUCUCUGACUGCUCCCAGCCGCAUCCUUCACGCCGGCCACUUGUGUCUCCGGCGGCAGCCACCUUGGCAGUCUGCUGGGUCCCGCAAUGCGGAGACACGCUCUGUGUGGGACGGAAAGUGGAAUCUGAUGUGCGGAGGAAAAACUAAAGCCAGCUGUCUAAGACGAUUAGUCAGAUAUUAGCUAACAAUCCUCUCCUUUUUACUCUCUGCCCAUUUUUCGUGUUUAUAUUAAGACCCUCUGCUUUUCUGCAUGUACUUAAUUUUAACUUGGUGCAACACAGCUUUCAGUGUUCAGUAUUACCCACUUUUACAGCUGGAAAUUUUAAGAGGAAACUCAGGUUUUCAAUUAACUUCGCCAAGGUUACAAAAUGGAGUUUCCCCUUAUGGAAAUGUUAAACUUUUUUGACAGAGGUCCAGUUCCACAGUGCCAGCAUCCCAGGGUGACUGUUUCCUGGAAGGCUGAGGCUGAGUUUGUAAGAGUAUCUCUCUACCUGUUGAGCUGGAGUACAAACUGUGGCCUCUGAGUAAAUCACAUCUUCCUUAGGCUCCAACUUUGGUUUCCCAAGAUGCCACUGGUGCUUCUGUGCUCUCCAGCGCACCAGGAUCCAUCCCAGCAUGCUCUGCAGUUCCUCUGUCCUCUCUCUGAUCUUUAGAUGUCACACACAAUAAAGAGGUCAAUGUAUGUGACAACAGAAAAGCAACCCUCAACCUAUUUUGGCACAGCACAGAGGUUUACCAUAUUGGUAAGGUGAUGCUCUUCAUCGAUGAGCUCCUGCCCAGCUGCAGCCAGGACAUCGAAUUCCUCAAACUUCUGCUCGAUCAUCAAGUCCAGUUCUGUGACGGUCGGCUCCUGGCUCGCACUCCCACGAUGCCCGACGUUGUCAAAGAUACGUGCCCGGGUGUCCUCUGUCCAUGAGCUGCAGCAGGAUCAAUGUGAAACGGUUGGUGAACACUUGGUGCAAACCUUGUCACGCUAAUGCUAACCCAUUCCUUAGCUCCCAGGAUUUCUAUCACAAGCCAGCUGUUACGAAAUCAGCAGCCUCAGAACGAAUCAAGUAAAUAAAUCAGGCCCCCACUUCUCAACCUGAUUUACAGAGAGAAUCAGUUUAAUGUCCUACAGAACGUAAUGGCGGCUGACUAAAAAUGUGAGAUUCUGCUCUGUUUUGGAUUCAAAUGAUGUAUUUCACAUAGGUGCUCCCAUGCAUUACCAUUUUAAUUUGUGAAAUAGUAUUUCAGUGAUUCACAGACAUUGAAGUGAGUAAUAUUGCAUUAUUAAUAAAAUAAUAAUUGAUGUACGAGUGAUAAAAAAUAAUAUGACAAUCUUGGAACACAAUUAAAAGACUGGGUUAUGUGUCGUCUGACCAAAAAAAAAACAGUUGUCCUUGAACAUGAGCUGAGUCACGGUGAAAGAAUGCUUUGUUCUCUGAGUGGGACGCAUGAGAGGCGAGUUCCUCUGCGUGGGCCCUAAUUCAGUUUUUGGCACAGGAUUUGCUGUAGCUCACGAGAACCUUCGUAAAAGGGGGGGGGGGGGUGUCAGCCAUCUUCCUCAGUCACUCACAUCAUGGCCAGGUAGUUCUGGAAGAAAUCCUGCAGCCGUGCGAAGUUCUGCAGCCGUGCCCGGUUCUCCGCCAUGGCCGUACCCAGCUUCUCCCAGGCCUGCAGUGUGGCUCGGGCCUCGCCGUCCAGCGCAUGCAUCCUGUCCGGGCAGAGCACCUGGAGCCAAGCUGCUGACCGCCGCGCCUCUUCCACGUCCUCUCUGAGCACCUCGUAGUCGACCUGGAGGGGAAGAACCGGGACAUGGACGCUGACCUGAGCACUGCCAGCUUCUACUGGUUUCGUCGCCCCACCAUCAACCUUCACUUUAUUCUCAUUUCGGUUCCAUUAUUUUCUGAAGUCGGUGGAAACGCAGGCAUGUUUUCAAAAGGCACCAAGCCGGAACCAGCACCGGCUCCGUGUUGGUGGAAAUGACUGCAAGUGAAGGGCCAGGCUCUGGACUGUGGAACUAGGGGGACUUUUGGAGCAUCAUUAAGGAUGGAUAAUCAUGAAAAAAUUACCUACAAAUAGUCUGAUGCAAAUCAAUAGCACUUUAUUAAUUAAGGCCUGAAUGAUAUCUGUGCUUUUUUAAAACAAAACGUUACAUCUGAGUCAGCAGACGUGACACCCCCCCCCCUUCAGUUGCAUCCCACGGUCCAUAGGCCAGAUGCUGGGUGUCACCCCACCAGUGCACACCGUCACUUCUGUCCCCUUGAUGCUAAAAAGACCCAACCCUUUAGAUGCAUCCAUCUUUUUCAUCCUAGACUGUAAUUAACAGAGCCGUGAUUUUGAUGGGAAGGGGAGAGAGCGAUUCACUACUUGUUUGCAUGUAACCCCGCCCCUACCCCCCACCCUAGCAACACGGGACUCUAGAUGCCAGUUCCAUGACCGUGGCGCUAUUUUCGUAUGAGAGAUGAGAUCAUUUUUGUUCUUUAAUGGUAUCGUAUCCAAACAGCUGUGCCUGCAUGUGAUAAACACAACAUUGCCCAAAUAUGACUCAUGCAGAAUACACCCCCCACCACGCACACGGGGCCCACCGCAAUCACCUCCCUCCAUCCCAGAGACCCUCAUGCAUGCACAAUGCAGUCCUUUGUGGGUAAUUAAAUUGGGUUCUUUCUGCGUAGGGUCAGAUGCAGCAGUUUACAUAAUUGAAUCCAACGUUAAACGAAGCGUGGACUGCCUGGACCUCUAUGGAUGGGAAGGACUUUCGGUGCAACAGGAAACAGACUGUGGGCCAUGAAAGACAUAUGAAAAGAGACCGACCCCCCCCCCCCCCCAUCACGGCACUAGUCCCUUUUAAGCUCCAAUCAUGUUGUUGCCAACGACUGGAUCAGGGGUCCAGCACGCAUGUCCUGUGUCCUUCCCCAAGCGUGUCUGUUCCCACUCACACAUCUGCAUUCAUUUUUCUCGCUGCACUAAUGACCCCCAAGCAGAAACACCCAAUGCUCAUGCUGGACAGCACAUGGCGUCGUGGAGUAGGGUUCACAGGGUCAGAGGUCAGGAGGUCACCUCCAGCUCAUCUUGCUGCUCCCGCAGCCUGUGCAGGCCACAGCGGUGCGGCUCGCACUUGACGGCCAUGUCCGUCUCGGCCUCCUGGACGAUGCCGCUGAGCUCCUCGCUCCGCGACAGGCCUUGCUGGAUCCGCACGCCCAGGGAGGAGUACUGCGGAACAGGCAAAAUUGCAAGUUACCUGGGUGCCCCUUGCACAGUUCGUACAGCUAUUUAUGCAGCUUUUUAUAACGCUUUUCUAGCUUGAGUGCAUGAGGAUCGUAAUGGACUGAGAUGAUGAAGUUAAACGCCUUUUUUCGUUUUGUGGUGAGUAUAUGACAUCGUCCUUCCGUUAGUGAUAAUGAAAAGCUUUGAAGUGGGUCAGACUAGGGUGAGGCGUGCAGACUGCCAUGACGAGGAACAGCCGCGGCUCCCAGCCAAGACAGCCAGGCUGAGCAGCCGCGCGGUGCCCACAAGGGGGCAGCGGCGACACAAAAGCCCCAGUGUGUGUGUGUGUGUGUGAAUCCGCACACUGUUCCUUCGUACCCCUAGGACUGCAGGGGGGACACACGCUCCGGUGUACUGCUGGAGACCCCCCCGUGUCAUGCGCAUACAAACCGUUCAUGACCAUCUGCAAUACAGAGGGGGAAUUUUCAGGUUCAGAAAGUUUAAAUCCAGACCAGGUUUUUGUUUCAGCCAACCAGUUGCACAUGAAGAGUCACAGUCACAGAGUACUCAACUGGUUGGUUGAAACAACAUCUUGGUCUGGAUUUGCUAUUUAAAUUUAUCAAUUAAAUUUUCUUCAUAUAGUGCAUUUUCACAAUAUUACAUUGCCUCAAAGCGCUUCCCAUUAUCCCCGCCCAGAGCCUCCAGUGAGCAGCCAGCGGCGACAGUGACAAAGAAAAACUCCCUAGAAGGAAGAAACCAGUUUCUUCUGAUCUGGUUUUACACAAUGGUCUCACUGUGUGAAGGUUCUCUAACAAAUCUUCUCAGGUCAAUAUGUAUUGUGACAGUGUCCUUAGUAGCAGGGAUGCCUCGCUUGGCCAGGCAGAGGCUAAAGUUCUCACUGGGUACAGCAAUGUGUUCAGCUCUCAGUCUCCAUUACUCUGUCAUCAUGUCUGCUUCCAAUAUCUCUCCUUGUUAGAAAGCAACAGGGGCUGAUGGCCCUCUAGUGUCCAGCUGAGGAAGGGUGAUGAGGCAGGUAUCCUGACCGCAACCCCCUCAGACUCCUACCCGGGACAGCAGCUCCUGAAUUCCCUGGUCCUGAGACAAUGAGCGGCCCCUCUCCCUCGCUGUGUCAUUGAGCAUCACCACGGCCUCCCGGAGCUCCUCCACGGGGUCACCGAUGUCCUCCAUAAGAGGGACGCCAGCCGGGCCUGUGAGGGAAGGCCGCUCCUCCAGGUCAGGCUGGAGAGGCUAGGAGGGGGUUCAACAGAUUAACAACAAGGUAAUAGGUCCCUCCUCCCAUCAGUCAUCCCAUCCCCAGGCGAGAAGUUCCUCCCACCUGGCCUGGGUUGUCGCCAUGGCUUCCAUGCAGCGCCUGGCCCUCCUCCAGUUCCACACGCUCCAGGAACUCUGUGAGCAUGCGUGUGUCCUGCAGCUCGGCACUCUGCUGUGUUAGGGCGCUGUGCACGCUGCGGUACCUGAAUGAGAGGCCAAGAUCCAUCAGCCAAUGGGGCGGCACCAUCCACCCCUGGAAAACCCCUGUUAAAGGCAAGAACAUUUCGGCGUACUCGCCUUCAAGGUGAGAUGCACCUGAUGUUUUUUCUUUUACUUACUCGGGGAACGCCUAAGCUGCACAGGCUGUGAGACAUUACCCUCAACAGUUUUACAAUAAGCCCCUCCCACUCUCUGCUUUCAUAUUCCUCCUGUACUGAUCUUAUAUAUUUAUUCUGAGUUUGACCAAGAGGCAAGCUGCGUCAUGCCAAUCUAAGGUCAUGAUGGGAAAUCCCCGAGUCCGGGAUUAGCUUUAUGACAACCAUGCCAAUCGCAUCAAUGAGGUCCCUGGAUGGUGAAACGGCAAACAAAUUACGUCAAUUGACCAAAUCCAAAAAAAAAAAAUCCACAUGUAAAAAUUCUAUCCUGAAGUGGCUUUUUCCUUCAUUUUUUUUUCAAACGCGCUCCCUGGAAACCGAUAAAUGGAGCCUUUUCUUCCAUGUUGUUUUCUUUGGGACGGUCUCUGUCUCCAACAGAGCGUGUCUUGUGUUUAUAGAUGCCCAUAUAGAAAUGUGUCUACUAGAACACCUCGCCUUGUAUACUGUGACAAGGGCCACCAGAUAAACAUCUCCUGACCAAACUCAACGCCGUAAUAUUCAAAUGCGCGAACACCGUCUCCACCGAAACACAGACCGUCCAUCUUUGAUGAACAGCUUAUGAAUCCAUUACGACUGAUGGUCUAUGUGAUUACCAGAGAUAUAUUAGCCAGUUAGAAAACUGGGAUGAGUUACUUUCUCAGUAUGGGGGAGAACAGGAGACUCAGUGCCAACUGCAUGAAUUAUUACCCUAUUUGCACGUACUAUAAAUGAUAGAGUAUGAAUUAAAAAAAGUUUCAUAGAGAGAAUUUUUUUGUUAUGUGAGUGUCCUGGAAUCUGCUCAACUAUUAUCUAUAGUCUACGGUUCAUGCUGCGGAUUUAGGCCAAAACGGAUUUAGGUCGGUCGUUGGAAGGAGUGAUAGAACACGUAAUUCUUAACCUCUAUUCCGCUGAAAUCGAGAUCUGACACCGAUCUCCUUGCAGAUGGAUGUCUGAGUUUCUGAGAUACGAAAACCCUGGCUGUAACCACGAAACGGGACACCAUCCUUUUUACAUCGUAUGGUCAUAGGUUUGUAUUAUUCGCCUUUCCAGGGGGUGUGAUCAGCUAACUACCGCCAUACUGUAAAGGUACCCACUUCUCCUCCACCUCGGCCAUGCGUGCCGGGAGCCGCUCAGCGUGGGCGUGACGGCGGCAGCGCAGCUUGUCCACUUCCUGCCGCAGCACACACAGCUCCAGGCCCCGGGAUGACACCUCCCUCUCCAGCAGACAGCUCUCCCGCUCGGCCGCGCUCAUGGAUUCGGGGUCUCCAGCGAGUGAGGACUGCCGGAUGGAGCACUCCACCGACUGCAGCCAAGUCUCCAGGGUGUUCAGGUCCUUCAGGACGUUCAUGGCCUGUUCGGGGGUGGGAGGAGGAGCAAAGGUGGGAGGGAGGAUAUUUGGUAGAAGUUUGAGAGGUGUUUGCUCACAUGCCUCAUUCUGCAAACAACUGGAAAAUUCUUCUAAUUUUAUUGCGAAGCCAAGGGCUUGUAAUUCGUCUUUGAAGAUGGAGGUUCAAGUGAGGACUGAGAAGAGAGAUAAGCAAAUUUUGAGCAAUCAAGGUCAAGUUCUGUUUUUCUUGCAGUAAAACGCCGGACCCGACCUGAUCUGAGUCAGAACUGGGGCUGGCCGGCUUUUGUCUGCCUCCUCACACCAUCAUAAAAACUUUGUGUAAUGCCAGUUGGUAGACUUGGCCUCCAAAAAAGAAUAACUUUUGUGGAAAACGCCCAUGGCAUAAAGGCGUCGCGGCAAGGCCAGGCGCCGUCUUCGGGGUGGGGGGGCUUUCCUCUAGGUUAGUGUUUCCCAAUCUCGUCUGGGAGCAAAAAUGUGAACUGUCUGGAAGGGAGCUCAGAGGGAUCAGAAACGUGGACUGGCUGUGGGUCUCCGAGGACCGGAUUGGCAAACGCUGCUCUAGACUGGUAUUGGACGGGCUGUUUCUUAUACAGCUGGAUGCAGUGCCAGAAUGACAUGAACAGUGCAUUGCUGCUGGUCAGCCUACCUUCAGGUUGAGCUUCUCUGACUCUUGCAGCACUACCACGUUCCUCUGGUGCCUCCUCUUUAGCUCCUCCCACAGCGCCUCCAGCUGGCCCAGGAACUCCUCGAUCUUGGCACUCCCGGGAUGCUGGGCUCGAACCAGACUCCGACCCUCCUGUAAAAGGCCAUUCGUGUACAGGAUCGUCUUCCAGGUGGAGGUGGCAGCUCAUGGUAGUAACUAAGGAACCGGAUAGCCUGAUUUUUAUAUUUAAAUUACAGAUGAAGCAAAGCUCUUGGGCCACAGAGCGUGGUGUUUCAGUCACAUUUGCAAACUCUUGCUGCUCAUUUGUAAGAUCCCCCUUGGGUUAAAGGAUUAGCUAAGCAACAUGUGUCUUAUUACAAAGGUCUAUAUUCACGUCUACUCCAUCCAAUGUUUCGUACAUGAAAGAGGGAGUCAGGCAGCUGUGCUAUGUUCUGUUAGCAUUUGACCUGAUGAUGAACUUCAUUGAGAUAUUUGGCCUGUGUCGGUAUGAUGUUGCAAGUUCUACUGAAUUAAAUACCUUUCUGAAA
Brienomyrus brachyistius is the source of this 15527-nucleotide long non-coding RNA. RefSeq lists it as uncharacterized. The record is from RefSeq and is a predicted model, not a curated record. The transcript is spliced from 5 exons. Lineage: Eukaryota; Metazoa; Chordata; Actinopteri; Osteoglossiformes; Mormyridae.